Molecule: ribosomal RNA, 424 nt
Filed under: Verrucomicrobiota bacterium
Lineage: Bacteria; Pseudomonadati; Verrucomicrobiota
Description: Verrucomicrobia bacterium partial 16S ribosomal RNA
Rfam family: Bacterial small subunit ribosomal RNA
Source: RNAcentral
UGAGGAAUAUUGGUCAAUGGGCGUGAGCCUGAACCAGCCAAGUAGCGUGCAGGAAGACGGCCCUAUGGGUUGUAAACUGCUUUUAUGCGGGGAUAAAGGAGUCCACGUGUGGAUUUUUGCAGGUAUCGCAUGAAUAAGGACCGGCUAAUUCCGUGCCAGCAGCCGCGGUAAUACGGAAGGUCCGGGCGUUAUCCGGAUUUAUUGGGUUUAAAGGGAGCGUAGGCCGCGUUUUAAGCGUGUUGUGAAAUGUAGACGCCCAACGUCUGCAUCGCAGCUCGAACUGGGACGCUGGAGUACGCGCAACGUUGGCGGAAUUCGUCGUGUAGCGGUGAAAUGCUUCGAUAUGACGAGGAACUCCGAUUGCGAAGGCAGCUGACGGGAGCGGCACUGACGCUUAAGCUGGAAGGUGCGGGUAUCAAACAGG